CCUAGCAUCUCCAGUGGUAAAGAAUCUGCCUGCAAUGCAGGAGACCUGGGUUCGAUCCCUGUGUUAGGA
Molecule: transfer RNA, 69 nt
Filed under: Bos taurus (domestic cattle)
Lineage: Eukaryota; Metazoa; Chordata; Mammalia; Artiodactyla; Bovidae
Also listed under: 3 other names
Rfam family: tRNA
About the family: Transfer RNA (tRNA) molecules are approximately 80 nucleotides in length. Their secondary structure includes four short double-helical elements and three loops (D, anti-codon, and T loops).
Source: Rfam by way of RNAcentral